CCUACGGGUGGCAGCAGUGAGGAAUAUUGGUCAAUGGGCGCAAGCCUGAACCAGCCAAGUAGCGUGAGGGAAGACGGCCCUAUGGAUUGUAAACCUCUUUUAUCCGGGAGUAAAAGACGCCACGUGUGGCGUUUUGCGAGUACCCGAUGAAUAAGCAUCGGCUAAUUCCGUGCCAGCAGCCGCGGUAAUACGGAGGAUCCGAGCGUUAUCCGGAUUUAUUGGGUUUAAAGGGUGCGGAGGCCGGAGGUCAAGUGUGCGGUGAAAUUUGGGGGCUUAACCCGUGGCGAGCGGGGGGAACUGGUGUUCUUGAGUGAGCGGAAAGCAGGCGGAAUGCGUGGUGUAGCGGUGAAAUGCAUAGAUAUCACGAAGAACUCCGAUUGCGAAGGCAGCUUGCCGGCGCGGAACUGACGCUGAUGCUCGAAAGUGCGGGUAUCGAACAGGAUUAGAUACCCGGGUAGUC
RNAcentral lists this ribosomal RNA (460 nucleotides) under uncultured bacterium. Its description in RNAcentral is "partial 16S ribosomal RNA". It matches the Rfam family "Bacterial small subunit ribosomal RNA", at positions 338 to 795 of the family's 1533-position model. The record is from RNAcentral.